This 1138-nucleotide ribosomal RNA is filed under the name Drosophila erecta. RNAcentral describes it as "SSU rRNA". It matches the Rfam family "Eukaryotic small subunit ribosomal RNA", at positions 1 to 1063 of the family's 1831-position model. The record is from RNAcentral. Lineage: Eukaryota; Metazoa; Arthropoda; Insecta; Diptera; Drosophilidae.
UCUGGUUGAUCCUGCCAGUAGUUAUAUGCUUGUCUCAACGAUUAAGCCAUGCAUGUCUAAGUACACACGAAUUAAAAGUGAAACCGCAAAAGGCUCAUUAUAUCAGUUAUGGUUCCUUAGAUCGUUAACAGUUACUUGGAUAACUGUGGUAAUUCUAGAGCUAAUACAUGCAAUUAAAACAUGAACCUUAUGGGACAUGUGCUUUUAUUAGGCUAAAACCAAGCGAUCGCAAGAUCGUUAUAUUGGUUGAACUCUAGAUAACAUGCAGAUCGUAUGGUCUUGUACCGACGACAGAUCUUUCAAAUGUCUGCCCUAUCAACUUUUGAUGGUAGUAUCUAGGACUACCAUGGUUGCAACGGGUAACGGGGAAUCAGGGUUCGAUUCCGGAAAGGGAGCCUGAAAAACGGCUACCACAUCUAAGGAAGGCAGCAGGCGCGUAAAUUACCCACUCCCAGCUCGGGGAGGUAGUGACCAAAAAUAACAAUACAGGACUCAUAUCCGAGGCCCUGUAAUUGGAAUGAGUACACUUUAAAUCCUUUAACAAGGACCAAUUGGAGGGCAAGUCUGGUGCAGCAGCCGCGGUAAUUCCAGCUACAAUAGCGUAUAUUAAAGUGUUGCGGUUAAAACGUUCGUAGUUGAACUUGUGCUUCAUACGGGUAGUACAACUUACAAUUGUGGUUAGUACUAUACCUUUAUGUAUGUAAGCGUAUUACCGGUGGAGUUCUUAUAUGUGAUUAAAUACUUGUAUUUUUUCAUAUGUUCCUCCUAUUUAAAAACCUGCAUUAGUGCUCUUAAACGAGUGUUAUUGUGGGCCGGUACUAUUACUUUGAACAAAUUAGAGUGCUUAAAGCAGGCUUCAAAUGCCUGAAUAUUCUGUGCAUGGGAUAAUGAAAUAAGACCUCUGUUCUGCUUUCAUUGGUUUUCAGAUCAAGAGGUAAUGAUUAAUAGAAGCAGUUUGGGGGCAUUAGUAUUACGACGCGAGAGGUGAAAUUCUUGGACCGUCGUAAGACUAACUUAAGCGAAAGCAUUUGCCAAAGAUGUUUUCAUUAAUCAAUGAACGAAAGUUAGAGGUUCGAAGGCGAUCAGAUACCGCCCUAGUUCUAACCAUAAACGAUGCCAGCUAGCAAUUGGGUGUAGC